Molecule: non-coding RNA, 196 nt
Organism: Podarcis lilfordi (Lilford's wall lizard)
Lineage: Eukaryota; Metazoa; Chordata; Lepidosauria; Squamata; Lacertidae
Source: the annotation of a GenBank genome assembly
CGGAAGUGAUGUUAGAGAAUGAGGUAUUGUAAAUAUGUACAAUGACUGGUUGUUUUGUGCAUCAGCUGCUCAGUUCAUCUUGCACCUAAUAUAUGUGUGUGUGUGUGUGUGUGUGUGUGUGUGUGUGUGUGUGUUUUAGGGCGGUUCCUGUGCACGGGGCACUGAGCUGAGGGGGUGCAAAAUUGAGAAGUUCCAU